UAGAAGCAGGAAUUUGGGGAGGAACUGAUGACAUAGAAUAAGGACCUUGAGGAGGCACUGAACCAUCUUGCCAUCGAGCAAAAGGAGGACUGCUGGAAGUACAUGAGAUAAGCUACCUUGCAAAAACAGCCCGCUGGGUAGGCACAGCGGGAGGGGUAGCCAUCCCCGCUGCCCAGUAACGGGCUAGAGACAGCAGUCAAGUUGAAGCAGCGAAUCAGGACCCACCGGGACCCCUCUGAAACACCGACAUGAGUGGAUAAAAGGGGGAAGAGCCAGUCCGUCAAGCUGGUGUCGGGGUCGCAUCGCUAAUUCGUGUGGUGUCAUGCCAUGCCACGCUGAAUAAUUGCGGAACAAGGGGGCCGAACAACUGAAGCAGGUGGUCACUGCGAGCUAAAGAAUCCGACCCCAGGCGGCAGCAAAGACCACCUGAGCCGAAACGCCUACGGCACGGCCACCAAGGACCACCUAAAGACCUGCACCAGGACAACGUGCUGCAAACAGCCCGAUUCCUCUAUCUCUUCUGACGUGGGACCAUCUGCAUGGAACUCGGGGAAGACAUCGGACAGGAUUCCCACAGUCACACGAGAGGCUACCACACCGCUUCCCCUACCAGACCACCAGACCACCUGGUCCAGAGAAUUUGGACACCAUCAUCAUCUGAGUAAAGAUGGGGACUACAAGGCCUUGAGAACAUUUGUCUUUGUCUGAUGGAUUGUUUCAUAUAAUUGUUGGGAUGAUGUCUAUAGAUAGCUGUAAACAGAGAGCAAAGGAACACCUAAUGGGUAAUAGAAGCCACAUGUGAAUCUGGCUUCACAUCCCCACGGGUUGUUUUUGUGGGGAUACAGGGGCUCUCCUCAGAUCCUUCCCUUGGCCCUCCUAUUGGUUUAUUGUAGCUCACCAAAUAGGAGACCCAAGGACAACUGGUGGCAAAGAACAAGAUUAAAAAGAGCCCUGCAUCCCAUUGUCAUUCUUUCGUUGCAGGAGCCUGAAUCACUCUGAACCUUGUUGCUCUACUAAUGGGCACACCACAAGGUUUGGAUGCUAAUGCAUGAGUAAACCCUCUUGCAAAGCGAGACACUUGUUAAACAGUUUUAAGUGAGGUGGCCUUGCAAAACACCUCCACAGCAUGCUUGCAUAUAUCUGGUCUUACCUAGACCAGACAAGGAGGUGCUGCUUGCUGGACAUGGCAGCUCAGUGGUCCUGGUAAUCCAAGGGAUGGCUGAAUAAGGGCAGGUGGAAUGUGACAGGCCCAAGGCCUGAACUCCAUUUUGUUUGGCCAAGGAGAACAAGACAGGACCAAGCAACUACCCCGAGUGGAGAAUAACUGGGUCCGGCCAGAUACCCCUAUAUAAAUCAACAGUGAGGAAAAGCUUUUUGACCCCACUUUGACCUGGGUUUCCACACCACCUGCUGCUGCCAGAUGAGGUUUUAAGUAGCUUUGGGUGAGGAGACCCGAUAUAUUCAUGCAUGACAUUUUAAGUGUUAGCAUAUUAGAUAAGCUAGGUGAGCUGCAUGACAUUUUAAGUGUUAGUGUAUUAGAUGAACGAGGUGAGCCCAGCCAUUAGGCCGCGUUGUAUUGAAUUAAUGUUUUGAAACAUCCUGUACUAUUAACAACUGGAAAACCCCUAUUGUAGUGGUGGUGGUUUUAAUCAUUAUUGUGCUUGCAUAUGUAUUAAUCUGUUAUUAAUGUGCAUUAAGACCAUUUGUGAGCAAUCCUACUAUCUGCUGAAAUCAUGUAUUUAGAUGUUGCCCCAGUUGGCGGCAAUGGUAGACAUUGGCCUUGAUUAAAUUAAUUAGGCCACCUGUGAGUGGAACAUCGAGUGUUAGUGCUUGUAGUGAAUGAUGCGUUUGUUAUGGUAAAUUUGAUAUCGUUGCUUUUGACAUAAAUUGAUAAAUAACCUGCUGUUAAUGUGAUUUUGCCUUAUUACCCUGUAUUCUGGCAUGAUUCCUUUGUACUAUUUGAAUGAGUGAGUGAAUGUUGUUGAUCCACAGGAUCGAGGGGUGGGAUGUGGUGAGCGCGAGUGACUCCAUUUUGUAACACAGAAGCCAUUUUACGAGCAACCACCAUUUGACUCCAUGAACAAUAAUGUAGGAGGAGAAAUUUGGGGAGAAACCGAUAACACAGGAGGGCUUUGAGCACCCCGUGAACCGAUAACAUAGAAGAAGGACCUUGAAGGCCCCAUGAACAACAUAGAAGGAGGAAUCUGGGGAGGAACUGAUAACAUAGAAGGAGGACCUUGAGGAGGCACUGAACCAUUUUGCCAUCGGGGAAAAGAAGGACUACCGGAAAUAUACAAGAUUAGCUAUCUUGCAAAAACAGCCCGUGGGGUGCGCACGGGGGGAGGAGUAGCCAUCCCCCCUGGCUUUACCCGGUAACGGGCAAGAGAGUAGUCAAGUCAAAGCGGUGAAUCAGGACCCGUCAUGACCCCUCGGAAACAACCAACCUGAGUGGAUAAAAAGGGGAAGAGCCAGCCUGUCAAGUUAGUGUCGGGGUCAUGUCAGUGUUUCUGCCACACCACGCCGAACAACUGCGGAACAAGGGGGGCAAACAACUGAAGCAGGUGGUCGCUGUGAGCUGAAGAAUUCGACACCGGCCGGCGGCAAAGACCACCUUAGCUGAGAUGCCUGUGGCACGACCACCAAGGGCCACCUAAAGGCACAACAGCCAAGGACCACCUGAAGACCUGCACCAGGAUGACGUGCUGAGAGCAGCCCAACUCCUCGAACUCCUCUGACGUGGACCAUCUGCAUGGAACUUGGGGAAGACAGUUGGACCAGGUGGGCGGGGGGUGGGGGUGUGUGUGUGUGUUUGUGUGUGUGCAUGCGCACGCAUAUGAAUUUUGCCUUUCAGUUAGACUGAGAAUUGAAAAAAGCUUUCUGCUAAAUACCA
Long non-coding RNA from Ornithorhynchus anatinus (platypus), 2890 nucleotides. RefSeq lists it as uncharacterized. NCBI's taxonomy places the organism in Eukaryota, Metazoa, Chordata, Mammalia, Monotremata, Ornithorhynchidae. The record is from RefSeq and is a predicted model, not a curated record. The transcript is spliced from 2 exons.